CGUGAAAUUGUUGAAAGGGAAGCGUUUAUGACCAGACUUGGGCUUGGUUAAUCAUCUGGGGUUCUCCCCAGUGCACUUUUCCAGUCCAGGCCAGCAUCAGUUUUCCCCGGGGGAUAAAGACUUCGGGAAUGUGGCUCUCUUCGGGGAGUGUUAUAGCCCGUUGUGUAAUACCUGGGGGGGACUGAGGUUCGCGCAUCUGCAAGGAUGCUGGCGUAAUGGUCAUCAACG
This 228-nucleotide ribosomal RNA is filed under the name Fusarium verticillioides. RNAcentral describes it as "partial 28S-like ribosomal RNA". Lineage: Eukaryota; Fungi; Ascomycota; Sordariomycetes; Hypocreales; Nectriaceae. The record is from RNAcentral.